GGCUACACACGUGCUACAAUGGGUAGUACAGAGAGUCGCAAAGCCGCGAGGUGGAGCUAAUCUCAGAAAACUAUUCUUAGUUCGGAUUGUACUCUGCAACUCGAGUACAUGAAGUUGGAAUCGCUAGUAAUCGCGAAUCAGCAAUGUCGCGGUGAAUACGUUCUCGGGUCUUGUACACACCGCCCGUCACACCACGAGAGUUGGUUGCACCUGAAGUAGCAGGCCUAACCGCAAGGAAGGAUGCUCCGAGGGUGUGAUUAGCGAUUGGGGUGAAGUCGUAACAAGGUAUCCGUACGGGAACGU
Molecule: ribosomal RNA, 303 nt
Filed under: uncultured Fusobacterium sp.
Lineage: Bacteria; Fusobacteriati; Fusobacteriota; Fusobacteriia; Fusobacteriales; Fusobacteriaceae
Description: bacterial SSU rRNA
Rfam family: Bacterial small subunit ribosomal RNA
Source: RNAcentral